This 757-nucleotide ribosomal RNA is filed under the name Bacillus cereus. RNAcentral's name for it is "bacterial SSU rRNA". It matches the Rfam family "Bacterial small subunit ribosomal RNA", at positions 46 to 783 of the family's 1533-position model. Lineage: Bacteria; Bacillati; Bacillota; Bacilli; Caryophanales; Bacillaceae. The record is from RNAcentral.
GGGUUAUACAUGCAAGUCGAGCGAAUGGAUUAAGAGCUUGCUCUUAUGAAGUUAGCGGCGGACGGGUGAGUAACACGUGGGUAACCUGCCCAUAAGACUGGGAUAACUCCGGGAAACCGGGGCUAAUACCGGAUAACAUUUUGAACCGCAUGGUUCGAAAUUGAAAGGCGGCUUCGGCUGUCACUUAUGGAUGGACCCGCGUCGCAUUAGCUAGUUGGUGAGGUAACGGCUCACCAAGGCAACGAUGCGUAGCCGACCUGAGAGGGUGAUCGGCCACACUGGGACUGAGACACGGCCCAGACUCCUACGGGAGGCAGCAGUAGGGAAUCUUCCGCAAUGGACGAAAGUCUGACGGAGCAACGCCGCGUGAGUGAUGAAGGCUUUCGGGUCGUAAAACUCUGUUGUUAGGGAAGAACAAGUGCUAGUUGAAUAAGCUGGCACCUUGACGGUACCUAACCAGAAAGCCACGGCUAACUACGUGCCAGCAGCCGCGGUAAUACGUAGGUGGCAAGCGUUAUCCGGAAUUAUUGGGCGUAAAGCGCGCGCAGGUGGUUUCUUAAGUCUGAUGUGAAAGCCCACGGCUCAACCGUGGAGGGUCAUUGGAAACUGGGAGACUUGAGUGCAGAAGAGGAAAGUGGAAUUCCAUGUGUAGCGGUGAAAUGCGUAGAGAUAUGGAGGAACACCAGUGGCGAAGGCGACUUUCUGGUCUGUAACUGACACUGAGGCGCGAAAGCGUGGGGAGCAAACAGGAUUAGAA